This 75-nucleotide transfer RNA is filed under the name Aureicoccus marinus. RNAcentral describes it as "tRNA-Arg". It matches the Rfam family "tRNA". From Rfam's summary of the family: Transfer RNA (tRNA) molecules are approximately 80 nucleotides in length. Their secondary structure includes four short double-helical elements and three loops (D, anti-codon, and T loops). Further hydrogen bonds mediate the characteristic L-shaped molecular structure. tRNAs have two regions of fundamental functional importance: the anti-codon, which is responsible for specific mRNA codon recognition, and the 3' end, to which the tRNAs corresponding amino acid is attached (by aminoacyl-tRNA synthetases). tRNAs cope with the degeneracy of the genetic code in two manners: having more than one tRNA (with a specific anti-codon) for a particular amino acid; and 'wobble' base-pairing, i.e. permitting non-standard base-pairing at the 3rd anti-codon position. Lineage: Bacteria; Pseudomonadati; Bacteroidota; Flavobacteriia; Flavobacteriales; Flavobacteriaceae. The record is from RNAcentral.
AGCCCUGUAGUUCAAUGGAUAGAAUAGAAGUUUCCUAAACUUUUGAUGCAAGUUCGAUUCUUGCCGGGGCUACAA